GUGCUUACAAGUAGUCAGAGCCCGUUAAUGGGUGAUGGCGUGCCUUUUGUAGAAUGAACCGGCGAGUUACGAUUUGAUGCAAGGUUAAGCAGUAAAUGUGGAGCCGUAGCGAAAGCGAGUCUGAAUAGGGCGUUUAGUAUUUGGUCGUAGACCCGAAACCAGGUGAUCUACCCUUGGUCAGGUUGAAGUUCAGGUAACACUGAAUGGAGGACCGAACCGACUUACGUUGAAAAGUGAGCGGAUGAACUGAGGGUAGCGGAGAAAUUCCAAUCGAACCUGGAGAUAGCUGGUUCUCUCCGAAAUAGCUUUAGGGCUAGCCUCAAGUGAUGAUUAUUGGAGGUAGAGCACUGUUUGGACGAGGGGCCCCUCUCGGGUUACCGAAUUCAGACAAACUCCGAAUGCCAAUUAAUUUAACUUGGGAGUCAGAACAUGGGUGAUAAGGUCCGUGUUCGAAAGGGAAACAGCCCAGACCACCAGCUAAGGUCCCAAAAUAUAUGUUAAGUGGAAAAGGAUGUGGCGUUGCCCAGACAACUAGGAUGUUGGCUUAGAAGCAGCCAUCAUUUAAAGAGUGCGUAAUAGCUCACUAGUCGAGUGACACUGCGCCGAAAAUGUACCGGGGCUAAACAUAUUACCGAAGCUGUGGAUUGUCCUUUGGACAAUGGUAGGAGAGCGUUCUAAGGGCGUUGAAGCAUGAUCGUAAGGACAUGUGGAGCGCUUAGAAGUGAGAAUGCCGGUGUGAGUAGCGAAAGACGGGUGAGAAUCCCGUCCACCGAUUGACUAAGGUUUCCAGAGGAAGGCUCGUCCGCUCUGGGUUAGUCGGGUCCUAAGCUGAGGCCGACAGGCGUAGGCGAUGGAUAACAGGUUGAUAUUCCUGUACCACCUAUAAUCGUUUUAAUCGAUGGGGGGACGCAGUAGGAUAGGCGAAGCGUGCGAUUGGAUUGCACGUCUAAGCAGUAAGGCUGAGUAUUAGGCAAAUCCGGUACUCGUUAAGGCUGAGCUGUGAUGGGGAGAAGACAUUGUGUCUUCGAGUCGUUGAUUUCACACUGCCGAGAAAAGCCUCUAGAUAGAAAAUAGGUGCCCGUACCGCAAACCGACACAGGUAGUCAAGAUGAGAAUUCUAAGGUGAGCGAGCGAACUCUCGUUAAGGAACUCGGCAAAAUGACCCCGUAACUUCGGGAGAAGGGGUGCUCUUUAGGGUUAACGCCCAGAAGAGCCGCAGUGAAUAGGCCCAAGCGACUGUUUAUCAAAAACACAGGUCUCUGCUAAACCGUAAGGUGAUGUAUAGGGGCUGACGCCUGCCCGGUGCUGGAAGGUUAAGAGGAGUGGUUAGCUUCUGCGAAGCUACGAAUCGAAGCCCCAGUAAACGGCGGCCGUAACUAUAACGGUCCUAAGGUAGCGAAAUUCCUUGUCGGGUAAG
RNAcentral lists this ribosomal RNA (1417 nucleotides) under Staphylococcus aureus. RNAcentral describes it as "partial 23S ribosomal RNA". It matches the Rfam family "Bacterial large subunit ribosomal RNA", at positions 560 to 1980 of the family's 2925-position model. Lineage: Bacteria; Bacillati; Bacillota; Bacilli; Caryophanales; Staphylococcaceae. The record is from RNAcentral.